UUAUGAGGUAUCAUUGACUGAAUAGAAACAUCACCAAGGUCAAGCGUUUUUAGAUUGCUUAACUUCUCGACUAAAUUUACGAAACUAGGCUUCUGGAGUUCAAGUCUACCACCAGGAACAUCAUUUAGUGAUAAAUCACGGGACACCAAAUUGGAGAGCUUUAGAAUUUCUGAUGGUAUUUGGCCAGAUAAAGAAGUUCCAGAGAGGUUCAAGUAUGAUAACCUGGAAAGGUUGAUGAUUUCUGGUGGGAUUUCGGAGGAAUUGAAGUCAUUCAAAGCAAGAUUAAGCCACUCAAGAUGGACAAGCUUGAAAAGGCUGCUGCUAGAGUUGAAAGAACCAAAAAGGCAGCUAUGGGAGAGGUCAAGCUUGAUGACAUGACCAGUGUUCUUAUUGCAAUGAACUCCGUCCCAAGAGCAGCAAUCAACGUUACCUUCUUCUGGCUUCCAUGUUGCCAUUGUAGGAUGACAGUCAAAUUUCCAAGCAUAAAAUUCACCACUGAUGCGGCUUUCUUUGAAUUGCAACAAAGCAGAGCGCUCAUCAUUAUGGCAGAGUAGCGGCAUAGAAGAAGCAGUGAAGUUAGCAAUUGUAAAAUUAAAGAAAAAGAAGGGAAAAACUAACCGUAUGAAUAUUGUGAAUAAACAUAUGGAGGAUAAACCCAUAGUUUUCUCAAAAAUAAAAUUUGUUUAACUUUGUAGAUGUUAAGAAAUUUAAGGAUCUUGGUUUUUAUAGGCAAAUUGCAGCAAUUCAAACAUUUUAGUCAUUGGAUUCUUUUUUUAUUUUUUUAAGUCAACAAAAGUUAGUCUUAGCAAUAUUUAUUUUUUAUUAUUUGAUGUGAUGUCCCACAAAAAAAAAUUGAUUUAAUGUGUUAUUAACAAUCUAUCCAGAAAAAACAAUUCUUUAAUAGGAUCUAUCGAACUUGACCUGUGUUUAUAUUUCCUUUCAUUUUCUAUAAUUUCAUUUUCUGCAUUAAUUUGCUUCUUUUUCUUUUUUUCUCCUUUCCCCGCUUGUAUUUCCCUUCACGACCAGUUGAGUAUUCUGCAUACUCGAGUUUAUGUGAUUGGCUUGAUGACUUUUCACUACAACUCAAAAAUUUUCCUCCCCACGGCAUGUUGAUAUUAUCUCCAAACUAGCAAUAUUAUCACUGUCACUCUUCUUUGUAAACUACGCACUCGUUGGUUGAGUGAUGACACCUCCUCAACUUAAUUAUUCUCAAGGUCAAGAAUUCGAGUUUUACUCGUUUAUAUUUCUUAGCCGAUGCCAAUGCGCCAAUUUGUAAUGAACUUUAGCUGAUGGUUUCUGAGAUGGGCUCUAGUUAGUGCACCUAAAUGUAACAAAUAUCUCACGUUAACAACCCAAAAUUCCAUAAUAUCAUGCAAAAUCAUUCUAGAAGUUAAAAUUAGGUGUUAAUCCGAUACAAACACCAGAAAAAUUAAUGAAAUUUGGAUUUACUACAAUUGGCAUGAUUUUUUAAUUUAGAUCAAUUAAAAAUAUUUCAUUUUAUAGUGUCGGAUUCCCUAUAAGUCGUCAUAAAUCAUUAUCCAGACGAUCAAGGCCGGCGGAUAAAGACUCAAGACUAGAAUUAGAAGUCUUCGAGUAUCAAUCAUAUGUCGUGUCAGAAAAUUCUUUCUUAGUUCUAAGCCAACUAAAGUUGAAUUCGCCAUAUCAUUAUAAUGGAUGUUAAUAUUGCUAACUUGGAGUCAAAAGUCAUGCGUUGAUUGCAUUUGUAUUGUCUGUAUGACUAGGACGUGGCAAAGGCUCAUGGAAUAGACCUGCUUCUAUUUUCUCCUUUCCCCACUACCACCAGUUCACUUAACUUUUCCUUCACGGCAUGCUGAAUGAGAUCUUCUACUCCAUCAGUGCAUUUAGGAUUAGAUUUCUAAUUUGUCCGAUGUCUCUGCAUUUUCUUGAAAUCUCUACUCUUCCUCGUGUAAUUAAGGAGGAUUAAAGUAAAAGAAAAGGGUAGAACCAGUUAUCCCUAUUUGUUGCACUAGCUAUCAGAUUUCCAUAUUAUAGUAAUUAUUGGCCAAAAACAUAAUUUUUUAUUUAAAUUGUCAAAAAGACUUGAAUGUUCUCAUCCUAAAAUAAGUUCCAUUAAAACAAUCAUAAUAUUUAUGGCAUGGUCCUACUUAAACCAGUAAAAUCUCUUGAACUAAUUUAAAGGUUCAAUCCUGCUCACAUGAGUAAGGAGAGGAUAGGGUAUUUGUUUAAAUUUUAUUGUAUUGAAUUUUGCACUUUCAAUACUUCUACGUAGUUAUUACGAUUUCAUCAAGUUUACGAUGUUAAUGAUCAAACAGUACACUUUCUAAACUAACUAAAAUAGUACCUAGCUAGCUAAUUAGAUAACGGAUUAAUGGAAUCACUACUAAAAAAAUGACUUUCACUGACACUUUGCUUCUGACACUUUAAAAAAAGUGUCAGUAAUUACUUAACUAUGCACCAUUUUCCGCUUUUAACAAAUAGGUGUCACAAAUUAUUAAUAUUAGUGUGUCAGUAAAUUAAAUAUCAGAGAUCACUGAUACUAAUGUAUCAGAGAUUAAAAAAAAUAAUUAUAAUUUGUUUUGAUUUCAACUCGAACCUGGAACUUCUAAAACUCUAAAAGUUCUAGAUAUAGGCCACAAACCACUGAACCAUGUAGAUUUAAGUUAAAGACAUAAAGUUAUAUAAAAACUUAACAUAUAAAAAACAAAACCCUAAUUCCCCUUCUUUAUUAUGCAAGAGAGCCCGCGCCGCAGCCGCCUAAUUUCCCUUCCCUUGCUUGACUUCUUCUUCUCUACCGUGAAAGACGGAGAAUGACCAUGUUGUCGCUGCUACGAAACGCCCACGCCCUCCCCGCCACCGCUAUCACUUCCGUUCCAACGUACCGACGCUGCAGCUUCUAGCCGUUCUCCAUUUGCUUUGUUUGCUGCCUCUGAUUUCGUUCUCCUUCCAGCUUCGUUUGCUGUCGUCAACCGCACAAGGUAAAAGGCGUAAUUCAAUCUUCUUUUAGGCAUGGGUAAGUGGCAUUAUAGGCACUGAAACUGCUGAGAGAAAAGUUUCAUACUAGUACAGGCACUUUGCUCUCUUCAAUCUUUGUACUUUUCAUUUUUCCUUUGAAUUUCAUUUCUGGUUAUUCAAAAUUUUUGAGUUUCUUUUUUAUUUCCACCCUUUACACAAACUCAUCUCCAAAUUUUUGGCCUUCUCCUUUUGGCCAUUUUGCUUUCGGAUUUUACACCAGUGACAAUGGCUUCAAGGUUGGAAUAUGGCUCAUUGACAGCAGCAACCUAGCAAAUAAAAUAAUUGUAUGGAUUGCUUGACGCGAAGACUCGUGGUCUCAUCCGGUGCUGCUCUGCAGUUCUCUGUAGAUGGCAGCAUAGUCCUACUUCGUAACUCCAAUGGCGAAGUCCAGUUGAUAGCUGAACCUACUCAAAGAGUUGUGGCUGCUGCAAUGCUUGAUUCUGGUAACUUUGUUUUAUUUUUUAUUUUAAAAAAUAAAAAGAAGAUACUUUGAUAUUUAUUUACAUGAAGCAAUAGCAACAAAUUGAAAAAGGGGAGUUUUCUCCUUGUGAAACCCUAACUAGGCUUGAUUCAAGAGAGCCUUCUGACCUUCCACUUGGUAAGAAUUAAGAAACCAAAAGAAAAAAAAAAGUCAUUUUCAUUCAUUUCAUUCCAAUACCAAAUUGAAUUUUCUUUAAUUUCUGGCUUUUGUUGGUCUUUGUAACGCAAGAAUGUUCAAUAAUAAUACUCAGGACAUGCUGUGAAGGGGAAAAAUAGAGGAACAAGCUGAUUUGCAACAAGCCCUCGAGCUUCAAAGUAGAAGAUUAGUGGGGCUGCAACUUCUUGAUGUUCAGAAGCAUCAUCCUCACAGGGCUCUUUCUACUGGCAGCCCAAUUCCUUCCCCCACUCACUCUCCCAGUAUUUUCUAUCAAACUUUUCUCUUUCCUCUGCUUCACAAUAGCAGUACAGAACCUCUACUAGGUACUAAUCUUCAUUUGUUUAAUUUUUAAUCAAACUAAAGAGACUAAGAGUUUCAUUGAUUUUUUUAACAGAGAAUGGUUAAAGUCCUUGACCACACAAAUGCAUGUUUUACUUCUUAGUAGGAUGAUUAUAUUUGAUUUGACAAGUGUUAUUGCACAUGAAUGCAUGUACAAGUUUGCUAGAAUUUGUGUUGAAAUAAGAUCAGAAAAAAACUUAGGAAUGUAAGGUCUGAUAGUUGAAUUCCUGGAAAGCUGAUUAUUAGGAUUAAUAAAUGUUGUCAUACUGUCAAGGAGUUUGCAUUGUUUCUUAACAAGCUCUUAUUUCCACUAUACAUCAAAUUUUUAAUAUCAUCUUGUAACUAUCUGGCUCUUUAUAAUAUUGUAUGUGUUUUCUUACUGGCCUUUACAUGGGUAGGCUACUAUGUAUUAAGCAUGUAUGUGGUUGUUUUCUAUAUAUAUUAUGUUCAUAUAAAAAUAAAUAUUAGCCAUGAUAACAGAAGUAGAAAGAAGGCAGUGGGGCUUACUGUUGAAAGUUUUAUGAAUUUGUCUCCACCUCAGGCUUCCGAAAUUGGGUUGUUAAGUGAAAAUAAUAAGGUUAAUUGGUCUUUCUUUUAUUUAGUUAUUUAUUUCUAUCUUUUUCAUGUUGAAUCAUUUAUUUUGUGCAAAUGUAAAAAUCAUAAUAAAAUUAUUAAGUUUUUGUGCUGAUUUUGGGAGUUGGUAUGCAGGGAUUGAAUGGAGAAAAAAGAAAGAGAAAUGAUGAUAGAGUGGUGGAGAAGCCAAGAGAAGUGAUUCAUGUGAGAACAAAAAAGGCAGAGUAAUGGCCAGUCUAUAUGUGGGAAUCUCUAAAUUGGAAGCCUGGAUGGUAUGAAAAGGAUAAGAGGCUUCUAAUAAUUUUUCUUAAUUUUCAAGUGUUUCUACUAAUUUUUAUUAUAUUUUUAUUAUAAUACUUUUCACAGGAUGUUCUGGAAAGCACUUGUCAUAUAUCUUUAAUUCUAGACUAUUAAAUUGGAAGAGUAAUAAUGCAGUUUCUAAUAUUUUAUUUCAAUAUUGGUUGUAGAUGCAUAUAAUCCAUUUUAGUUUUUAGAAAUAUAAUUGUUGAGUCCAAUAUAUUUUGUGUUGACUAUUCAUGGCCUCUAGUAGUUUUUAUAGCUAUGGUUAAUAUUGUUAAAUAUAAGUGUACUGGAAAAAUUAUUUCACUUUAUAGGAAUCCAUUGAUUUAUAGGACUUGUUGAUUACAGGAGCUGUAAGUGAUUUUUCCAGAAUUAUGAAUUUAUUAUUGGAGCUAUAAUUAUAAUAAUUGAUAUUUUGGUGUACUAAUUGAUUUUAUGUACUUGCAGAUGAGGAAAAAAUGAAGCCGCAGAUUGAUAUUGAGUGACCUUGAGCUUUUUUUUUGUUGGAUAAUGUUUAUUGAAGCUAAUUUAAUAAUUUGUUGUCAAAAACUUAGUUUGGUACUUAUUUUUUUUUUUCUCCAAACAGUGUAAUUGAAUUAUGUUAAUUUAAGUGAUGAGUUUGAUAUAUUUAUUAUGUGAAUUGUUUUGCGAGAUUUGGUAUACGUAAUAGGUUUUGAGUUUUUUUAAUUGUAAAACAAAUAAGAAAAUAUAAUUAAAACAAAAAUAUCCUAUUAACCAAAACUAGCAUAACAACACUUGAUUCUGAAGUACUGUAGUCACAUAAAUCAUUGACAUGUAAAUUGUAUCAUUAAAUACUAACACUAUAGUGUUACUGUUUUGGCGAUACUAUAGUGACACGAAUUACUAACAUGUAAAAUAGUAUUAUCAAAUACUAAUACUAUAGUGUCAUUAUUUUUGUGAUACUAUAAUGACACGAAUUACUGACACCAAAAUCACUGACACUAAAAAUUAGUGUCAGUGCGUUCUGGCUUGAGCAUUAUUGACACAAUUAACAAGUGUCAGUAAAAGUGAUUACUGACACUAAGUUGGUGUCAGUAAAACUCAUUUUUGUAGUAGUGAAUAGAUGUGGAUGUCUAGUUUUAGAGUUUGACUUUUUUUUUAAAAUUAAUCAAAGAAAACGUAUUUUUAAUUUUGGGUUAUUGUACUAUUAAUUAAUAAUUUAAUUAAAAAAAAUUAUUUAUUUUCUUUCAUUCUAGUUGUUGAAAAUGCCUUUAAUAGGGGUUGGUUCAAUAUUUGGUUAGACUCUAAUUUCAUGCUGGCGAUCCAACUCCUUCUCUUCAUCCCUCUUUGACCAUUUGCAAUGUACUUGCAUUGCAAAUGUCUGUAGUCAAACUUGGGUCUUCAAUGUACUCACAUCCCUUGGUAGGAUUUCUCUCCUUCAAAGAUUAACGCUCUUCUUCUCGAGAUGCAAAUGGCUUUUAAAAUUGUCAUUUUUGUUAAUGUAGGUCCUACAUUCAUGGUUUUCUUGAGAUUUUAUAUCAUCUUAGCUUUAUGCAUUUAAAGAGUAAGAUUUUAUAUCACCUUAGCUUUAUGCAUUUAAUGAGGGAUAGGGUUUACUAUAUCCCCUAAUUUUUUUUAAAUUAGGAUGUCUAGUUUUAGAUGUGGAUGUCUAGUUUUAGAGUUUGACUUUUUUUUUUAAAUUAAUCAAAGAAAACGUAUUUUUAAUUUUGGGUUAUUGUACUAUUAAUUAAUAAUUUAAUUAAAAAAAUUUAUUUAUUUGCUUUCAUUCUAGUUGUUGAAAAUGCCUUUAAUAGGGGUUGGUUCAAUAUUUUGUUAGACUCUAAUUUCAUGCUGGCGAUCCAACUCCUUCUCUUCAUCCCUCUUUGACCAUUUGCAAUGUACGUGCAUUGCAAAUGUCUGUAGUCAAACUUGGGUCUUCAAUAUACUCACAUCCCUUGGUAGGAUUUCUCUCCUUCAAAGAUUAACGCUCUUCUUCUCGAGAUGCAAAUGGCUUUUCAAAUUGUCAUUUUUGUUAAUGUAGGUCCUACAUUCAUGGUUUUCUUAAGAUUUUAUAUCAUCUUAGCUUAAUGCAUUUAAAGAGUAAGAUUUUAUAUCACCUUAGCUUUAUGCAUUUAAUGAGGGAUAGGGUUUACUAUAUCCCCUAAUUAAUUGUGUUAAGUCUAUUUUUUUAUAUAGAGUUGACAUCUUAUGGCAAGUUUGGUAAAUUGAAAUUUUAUUUACUUAAUUUCAUGUAAUAGUGAAAUGGCCCGCCCCGAACCCUAGGGUGAGUCUAUUUAAUCUCGUCAAAACUGGAUUGAUAAUAAUCUAAUUAGUGAAAAUUCUGCCGAAAAUUCGGCAAAGUCUCAUUUAUAAAUAUAACACUCCCAAUCUGAAAAUAUGUAAAACAAGCACUUCCAAAAUAAUUCAAUUUAUAACAAACUCCAAUGAUCAACAUCCUCAACCAAAAUGCUGAGUGUUUCUCAAGAUAUCUCUAGAGUCUCAAAGGAUAAUAUUAUAACUAAUAUUAAUAUACCUCAGUUUAUUCUUAAUCCCAAAAGAACGAGAUAACCAAGAUGUCCUAACAAAAAGCAUCUAUAUCUUCUAACACCAUCACGUAACUCAAAAUAUAUUUACAGUCGCUGGGUCAGUCUGGUGUACCUGUAACCUCCAGGUGGGGGGGGGGGAAUAUAAUAAAAACGAGAUGAAUAUAAAACUCAAUGAGUGGAUAGUAAUUUUUGAAAAUUAAUUCUUACUUUAAAAUAAAUAAUCAUAUCAUUUCCAAACACGAUUUUAUCAAACCAUAUGCGAGAAACCAGUAAUAAAUCAUUUAACAUUUAAAUCGGAUUACUAACCAUGAAAAGUAUAUAUAAUAUCAUACCUAAUAACCAUGGAAAUCAUAUCACGAUAUCAUAUAGAACACACAGAUCUGAAAAUCAUCAUCAAACAAGUACCCAGGGGAAUAAUCUCGUCGUAUUCGGACCUCAACGGACGGGCAAUGACGUACUAUCUAGGUACCGUCACGCUCCAGAGCUACAUGGAUAGACAGGGAAAUACCAUGUCAUAUCUCAUCAUAUCUCAAAGGACAACAACGCCCAAGCACACGGCCCAAAGCCUCUAUGUGCACUCAGACGAGCCCCAAAGGCCUGUAUCUCAUAUGUAUCAUAUGUAUCUCAAUAUCUAUCUGCAUCUCAUAUCUGUAUCUUUGUAACCAUCAUACCGCAUGCAUAUGCCCCCAAAAUGCAAAAGCGCCCAAACACAUGGCCCAAUGCCUCUAUGUGUGUUCAGACGGGCCCCAAAGGUCUCUCAUCUCAUAUGUAUCACUGUAUCUGGAGGGAAGGGUACUGUCCAAUGAUUUUAAAAACAAUCUCUAUACUCAUACUCAUAUACAUUCUAAUCAUACCUUUCUUUUCAUUAUCACAUCUAAAUCCACUUUUCUCAUCUUUAAGAUACUAUCAUAUUUUAUUCAAGUCGAUACGGAAAACCAUUAACCAAACAUCUUAAUAUAAUAUCAAUGCGUGAAUAAAAUUCAUUUCGAGAAAAUCAUUAAAUCAUAAUAUUUUAAAUACUUAUUUCGCAAACAUGCUUUACUAUCAUAAUUAACUAUGAAAAUAGGUUUUGUAUAUUCCACUCACAGUGACAGUGUUCACGCUCGGUUAUCAUCCACGUCCGCAGACUAGUUCUCACUCGCGGAUCCUCCUAAAUCAAGGAAACGACAUAAUUAUUUUCCAUAAAUCGAAUUACGACUAAAUUUAUACAAUAAACUCGAAACGAACAUCUAUUCAUAAUUUCGGGUCAAACGGGUCGGGUUUUUGCGUCGGUUUUGACAGCUUCUCUCUCACACGUGUAUAUGUUACCCCAUUUCCAGCUUCUUCAUUUACUUUUAUUUACUUUUUAACUGCCUCACCCCUUUUUUCACAUAUGUUACAAAUAGGGUUUAAUUUAUUAAAUUCCUAGCUAAUUUAGUGAAAUUUCAAUUUAUUAGGAAUAUUGUUUCCUGGUUUUAACUAGAUGUCUAAUUUAGCAAGUCAAUUAGUGACAGGAUUUUUAUAAAUGGUGCGUGGGAUUUAUUUAGAGGAAGAAGUUAGUUCAAACAGAAAGUUCAUUAAAUGCUCUAAAUAUUUCUUAGGAGAUAAGUAAGGCAAGCAUAUCAUUUUUAUUCCUAUUCAGAUUUAUAGGAAUUAUAAGAGGAAACAAAUUCUUAUUUGGAAAGAAUCCUAGUCUUUUAACUACGGUUUUAAUAAAUUUUUUCACAUCAACCUCAUACUCAUCAAACAAUAUAUCAUAUUUAAUCCAAGAUUUAUCCAUUUUUUGUUUAGUACCUGACAUAUAAUUGAGACAAAUUUCAACAUAAUGUACUAAUGGGCAGCAAUGAUAAACCGUUUCCAUUAUCAAUAAAUUAAGUAACAAAACAUUAUUAAUAUUCAAUUUAUAAAUUUAAUGAAAUAAAUAAAUUUAAAACAAAAAAUUCUAACAAUCCGCCAUUUCAUGGACUGCAAGACUAUAUAUGUAUAUAUAUACACACGCAACUAAACAUUCCUUGGUCCACAUGAACAAACUUACCAUUUCUUUCAAACAUAAAAAAACAAUUGAAAAAGGGGGCCUCACUUUUCAGCUCAAUAAAAUACACGGAAAAGUAUUAUCAGUUACCAAAUCUAACUCACAAUCAUUAAAAAAAGAAAAAUGAUAAACGAACAAAAAGAAGUGAGAAGGACGAUAGAAACGGCAGCAUGAGCUGCCGUUUCACGCGUCCUUCUUACUAGAGAUGGCAAAAGUUCGGGUCGGGUCCGGGUUUGGGGCUGCCCGAGACCGACCCGGAUGUCAAACUUAGCUACCCGGACCCGCACCGUGCCCGGAAUUUUUCUAUGCGGGCCGGGCACAUGCCCGGCACUAUCCAGGCACGGGUUUUUUCCCAGGUUUUCUCUACCCGGAUUUGAGUGAUGAUGAAUUCAAAUGAGAUCAAAAUCAAACUCUCAUAAUAUAUGCAUAGCUUCGAAAUUAACCAUUUAACUUCCUCUUUUACAGAAAUUCAUCUUCCAAGUUUCCAGAUGCAGAAUACACCAUAUCCAAAGAAGCGACCCAAAUGUAGGUUCUACAAUUUUCCUUUACAUUGACUACUAGAGCUGUUACUUAGACAAAAAAAAGGUUCAAUUUAAAUUUGUUGGAUUGCGGCAUUCGUUGCAACCUCACAGCAGGUCAUGCUUAAGUAGGGAGUUUUAAACAAAGGUUUGCCAUAUUCCUCUGAAGGUAUAUAAGGUAAGGAUUAAAAAAAGAAAAAAGAAAAAAAAACAAUCAACACCAUUUGAAUUUUCCGCAAUGCGUUUGUACGAUGAAGUAGAAAAAAUAUUUCAACAGAAACAACUAGAUUGAAAUAUUUCAGACUAACAGUAAUGCUCUGUUUAUACAAGGAAGGGAAAAGACUAACAGUAAUGCUCUUUCUUAUUAUGUUAUGUGCAGGCAUUAACAAUGUAAACACUUCCAGCAUCCAAGAAAAUAAUUAAGCAUAUAUUGAAAGCAAUUUCAUCAUUUUUUUUUUUGAAAAAACAGCCCAAAAAAAAUUUACUUCGUGGGUCGUGGCUGUGGGUUGCAGGCUUGCAGCUGAUAUGGUGACAACUGAAAAAACAAUGGAGUGAGAGUGUGAGACCAGCUAUGGUGGCGGACGCCGUCGCUCGGUGGCUGCCGCUGAGAAGCUGACCAAACAAUGAAGAGCUCUUUGACCAUUUGACAGACUGACGAGUGACGACUGUGCUUUGCGGUUCGUGGAGGGAGAGGCGCGGUCAAUUGUCAAUACUGCAUCGCCAUCAGUGAAGGAUGGGUGGUGGCUGAGGCUGACUGGCUGUUGGUGGAGAGACGGAGGUAAGAGGUGUCAAUUUCGCGAUUUAGGGUUGGCCGGUUGGGUUUGGGGGAAAUUGGGCAAAGGCAAAUGGAAUUUGUUUAUAUAUUUUCCUCUUUUUUUUUUACUUAAUAAAAAAGCGGGCACGGGUCUGGGUUUCGGGUUCUUGGUGUUGUGACCGGACCCGUGCCCGGAAACACACGGGCAUUGAAAAUCAAUGCUCGGAUCUGCAUUUUUCAUGCAUUCGGUCCGGGUCCGGUCCGGGCGGGCUUUUCUGCCAUCUCUACUUCUUACUCUACCAUUUGGCGUUUAAAAUAUUAAAAUAACACUUUAAAAAGGAAAAUGGUAUUCACAUGAACGACUAAAGGAGAGCACAAAAAUUUGGGCCUAAAAGCCACAUGUUCGUACGUGCAAACACCACACGCACGCACACACGCAAAAAUCCAGUAAAAAACUUACGCGUCUCCCUCACCAAGCAGCAAGAUUCUCGAUCUCUCUCUCCCAACAUUCUCCAUCUCUCUCUCCCGUCUCAAUACUGGGUCAGUCUCAGCUUCGUUCUCCCUCACGACGCAGCAACAGUGAGAGAUCUCAAAGAUGUCUCUUGCUCCCUCACUCUCGCAGCCUCGCUAUCUCUCCUUUGACUGCCACUACAAAACCAGUCAUUUUCAACAAUAUCUUAUCGAAAAAAAUGGAACAAAAGCCACAACCUUGCAGUCAACAGUGCUGCCGUUGAUAUGGUUCUGAUAGUUAAAUAGGUUCUGAUAUAUAGUUAAAGAAUAUUUUCUGGACAUGUCUAGUAGAUGCCCUGCUGUUGAUAUAGAUAGUUACAAGACGAUAUUGUAUCAGCAAAUUUUUAUUCAUUCAUCUAGUCAUAGUGCAAGUUGUAGCAAUUAGAGAGAAAAUCGAUGAGGAUGGAAAACGAUCCGAGUGUCUUAUUGUCAGUGUUGUCGACUAAUUAAUUCUGUUAACCCAAAGUUGCAAUCUGAUUUUUGUUCUCUCAAAUGGAGUCCAAAUGCUGAAUUCCGCAGCUACAAAGAAAUCCGAACAAUUUCCAUUCCAUGCCUUCUCAAUCGUCAAUGGCCAAUUUGUGCCACUUAUAUGUAUCAACUGCAAAGCUGCCUCUAUUGACGUGGUGGUUAUCGGCACCAAACUCAAAUCUUGACGGCACCAAAUGCAUAUUUCUCAGCUUUUAAAUAGCAAACCACUGAUUUUAUUUUAUUUUAUUUGGCUUUCGAAGUCGGAGUUCUGCCACUUGGAGAAAGGAAAUGGCCGCAUUUUUUUUUAAAGUUGUGGAACAACUACAGGAGUAUAUCAGAGGCCUCCAUUUCUAAACUUUAUUGCGGGCCAUUGCUUAUUUAAUUGAGAUCAAACAUUAUUUUUGCGCCAUUUUUUAACCAUUAUUUUAAUGUAUUUGUAGACCAUGGGGAAGAGUGAGAAGGACGCGUGAAACGGCAGCAAAUGCUGCCGUUUCUGUCGUCCCUCCUUCUUCCUUAUGGCUAAAUAGCAUAACUCAAAAAGAAAUGUCAACACCAUUGGACCUCAGUUUUGGAUCCAUCCCAAUAAAAAACACUAGUCAAUGAAAAGUGAUAUAUCAUCAAGCAAAAUCAGUUAAAACAAAUGCAAGCUGUGACUAAAAAAUUACAAAAUAUAACAAAAUUCAGACCAACCAUUGCCAGCAAGCAUUGUUUAAACAUUGAAUGGAAAGGCAAGUAAAGAAUUGAACAAACCUGAUGCUAGAAAUCGAAUUUGAAAGGGAACAAAGCAGUGAAAUCCUGCAAUUCAGAAAAAAAAAUUUUAAAAAAAAAAGGACAUACUAAAUUAAAUGAUUGAGCAAUUUCAAGAUUUAAUAAAAGGACAAAGUAUAAGCUUCUUGAAUUAAAAAAAUAAAAAAAAUAACAAAUGAAACAAACAAGAAUUAAAAAAAUAAAUAAUAAAGAUAAACCAUUCAUGAUAGAAAUCCCAAAAAUAGGGCAUAAAUUAUAAACAAAUAAGGGAGAUAAGGACAAAACUGACAAUUAAUUUUAUAAUGCCCAACUAAUUUAUUCAAAAUAAAAAAAUAAAAAAGCUAAUUGACAAUAAACCUAAGGAUUCAGCAAUUACAAGGAUGGCUUCUCCACCGCCAAUUAAGCAAUGCAAACAAAUAGUGACAACGACGGCUUCAAUAGCGAACGUGUUGUUCGAAGGCGCAACAAUGAGCAUAUACGGUGAUUUUUGGCAUAAAAAUUUAUAAUGAAGUGGUUGCUUCAAUGGCAUAUACGAUGAUUAUGGUUUCCAUGCAAUGGAUUUCAAAACCAAUUUGUAGAUUAAAGUAGGGCUUGUUAAUUUUGGAUUUUGAGGGGUUUCAAUGCUUAGGUUUCUCAACCCUUGCCAAUGGAGUGAUGAAGUCAAAGGAGCUGAAGUGUUUAUUAAAAAUUAGAAUUUUCUUGUAGUUUAAAGUCUAUAGUAAACGACAGCAUUUAGAAGUUAAAAUAAAUAUUUUUACUUUCAAAAUUUUUUAAAUUAUGAAAUAUCAACACACAGUGCCGUUUCAUGCCCAAAUUGAUCUAUCAUAAACUCACCAUUUCAUUAAAUAUUAAUACGCUAUCAUAUUUAUAUGAUAUAUAAAAACUCUAUCACAAAUUUAUCAUGCCUUUAUGAUGUAUGAAAAUUCUAUCAUGUGUCUAUCAUAUUCUUGUGAUAAAUGACUAAUUUUCUAAUAUCUAUCACAAAAAUUCUUCAUGUUAGCCCAUUAUUCUAGUAGUGAGAUAUUUAUCCAACUGGACUACAAAGUAAUUGAAAUUAAUUGUAACACCUAUGGCCAAACCAUGGACCCAGUGUUACUCUAUAAUUACAAUCAACUUGACUCUGAAUGAAAUGGGAAAAUGGGGGCAAAUGCCUACUCUAGGCUCUAACCAUGAAACAAUAAUCAAAUCAUCAGACUUCUAAAAUAAGCCAAAGAAACAUUACUCACAAACCCAUCUAUUAACAUCUUUAAAGCUUUGGCACUAAAAAAAGAGAGUUUUGUGUUAAAUAGUUGUAACAUAUGUGAAUUAAAAAUGAAAUUGAGGCGGUUAAGGACUUUAUUAAAAAGAAUAGAAUAAGCUAGAAACAGGGAACAUAUACACACACGUGUGAGAGUAACAGAAGCUAUCAACAGACCCGAAAACCCGACCCGGAACCCGCGAACGUGACCCGGCCAUAUCUCCCAUUUUCGCCCACCGUUUCGACCGAGCUUGGUACCAAUCUAAAGCUUAGAAGCUGGUCGUCGUUCCCCUGCCAUCCUCGCCACCGGAACGCCGGCGAUCGAAGCUUGAAAACCCGCGACUAUUUCGCUUUGUUCCGCCAGGAUUUUCGCCGAAUUUGGGUGACACCACCAGUUGGAUUUUGUUCCUCAUGACUCCCUCUUCCAUUUCCGACCAUCCACCGCCGCCAGGGACAUCGUUUUGCCGUUGAUCGGCCGUUGAAGGACUUACGGCCUUGGGAGCUCGAUCCGUUUCGCGCGUGGGAGGUCACCACUGCCACCGUUGGACUCAGUGUGGCUAGAACUUUCAGACCCGUGCUUCCCAGCCAGCGUUGACCAAAUUCCGGUGACCGUUGACCGGCAAGGGCAUUUCGGAAAUUUCACACCAUGAGGGCAAUUUAUAAUUUUCGAGCUUGUGGAUAUUUUAGUAAUUCCUGGAAUUGAGGAUUGGGUGUAAUUAUGAUUCCGAGGGUAAUUCGGUGAUUUACGAUUUCUGAGUAUUUUAAUGAUUUACAGACUCGAGGGCAUUUUAGUAAUUUUACCAACACGGGAGUUGUAAAUUAUAGAUAGAUGUUCGUUUCGAGUUUAUUGCAUAAAUUUAGUCGUAAUUCCGAUUUACGAAAAAUAAUUGUGUCGUUUCCUUUAUUUAGGAGGAUCCGCGAGCGAGAACCGUUCCGCGAACGUAGACGAUAACCGAGCAUGAACACCGUCGUUGUGAGUGGAAUAUACAAAACCUAUUUUCAUAGUUAUAUGAUAGUAAAGCAUGUUUGCGAAAUAAGUAUUUUAAAUGUUCUGAUUUAAUGAUUCCCUCGAAAUGGAUUUUAUUCACGUAUUGGUAUUUUAUUAAAAUGUUUGGUUAAUGAUUCUGCGUAUCGACUUUGAAUAAAGUAUGAUAGUAUUUUAAAGACAAGAAAAGUGGAUUCAAAUGUGGUAUAAUUUAAAGUAUGGUUAAAAGGUAUGUGAAUAUGAGUAUAGUGAUUGUUUUUUAAAUCAUUAGACAGUACCCUUUCCUCCAGAUACAGUGAUACAUAUGAGAUGAGAGGCCUUCGGGACCCGUCUGAACACACAUAAAGGCUUUGGGCUGUGUAUCUGGGCGAUUUUGCCUUUUGGGGGCAUAUGCAUGUGGUAUGAUGAUUACAGAGAUACAGACAGAUAUUGAGAUACAGAUGAUACAUAUGAGAUGCAGGCCUUUGGGGCCCGUAUGAGUACACACAGAGGUUUUGGGUCGUGUGCUUGAGCGCUUUUGUCCUUUGGGGACUAGAUUAUGCAUGCACAUAUUUGAUGAGAUAUGAUAAGAUAUGAAACGGUAUUUCCCUAUCUAUCCGUGUAGCUCCGGGGCGUGAUGGUACCCAGAUAGUACGUCAUUGCCCAUCCGUUGAGGUCCGGAUAUGAUGAGAUUAUUUCCCCGGCUACUUGUUUAGUGAUGAUUUUCAGUCUUGUGUAUUCUAUAUGAUAUUGUGAUAUGAUUUCCAUGAUUAUUACGUAUGAUCGUUAUAUAUGUUUUUCAUGGUUAGUAAUCUGGUUUAAGUGUUAAAUGAUUUAUUACUGGUUUCUCGCUUAUGGUUUGAUGAAAUCGUGUUUGAAAAUGAUAUGAUUAUUUCUUUUAAAGUAAGAAUUAAUUUUUAAAAACUACUAUCCACUCACUGAUCUCACUGAGUUUUAAACUCACCUCGUUUUUAUUAUAUUUUCCCCCCCACCAGGAGGUUGCAGGUACACCAGACCGACCCAGCGACUGUAAAUAUAUUUUGAGUCUUGGCCUCGUGAUGGUGUUAGAAGAUAUAAAUGUUUUCGUUAGGACAUCUUGAUCAUCUUGUUCUUUUGGGAUUGUAUAAUUUUGUUAUAUUAUUCUUUCGGGAUUAAGAAUAAACUGAGAUAUUAAUAUUAGUUAUAAUAUUAUCUUUUCAGAUUCUGGAGAUAUAAAACUAAGCAUUUUGGUUGAGGAUGUUAUUACUGGAGUUUGUUGUAUAUUGAAUUAUAUUGGGAGUGUUAUAUUCAUAUUUGUAGAUUGGGAGUGUUAUAUAUAUAAAGGAGACUCUGCCGAAUUUUCGGCAGAAUCCUUACUAAUUAGAUUAUUAUCAAGUUCGUUUUGAUGAGACUAGAUUGACUUGCCUAGGGGGGAUUCGGGGCGGGUCGUUUCAGUUGGUAUCAGAGCAUGGUUUUAGAUUCUGUAGACUUUACUAUCUUAAUAAGAAUAAGUUUUAUCUUUAUUAAAGUUAGAAUUUAUAUCUUGUAUGCACCAUCAUGCUUCGUCGUAGCAGUAGACGUGGUCGUGGCCGUACUAGGCCAAUAGCUGAGUUGACUUCUGGUAGUGUACCUACGGGGAAAGUGAACCCGCGAAUGAGGGGGUAGUUGAAUCCUCCACGCAUGAAAUCGCACAACAGUCACUGAGGAAUGCCCUAAAUAUCGAGCACUCAUUUGAUAAGUUGGCUUAGAUCAUGGCUACAGUUGUGCAAAAUCAGACUCAAGCGCAUGUCAGUAACACAAACACUAUUGAGUGAGUGAGGAGUUUAGGGGCGAGGACCUUUAAUGGUUCUGGAGAACUACCUGAGGCUGAGUCAUGGUUUGUUAAGUUAGAGCAAAGUUUUGACGUGAUGAAGUGUUCGGAGGAUGACAGACUAUUCGUCGCCACUUUCCUGCUCGAGGAUAAAGCUUACCAUUGGUGGCAGAUAGUGGAGAGACGAUAUCAGGGGCAUGCUGCGAUUACUUGGGCUAUUUUCCAUAAGGAAUUCUAUGAUCAUUAUUUUCCUGUUGUAUAUCAGGAUAUUAAACGGAGUGAAUUCUUUCGGUUAGUUCAGGGAUCUCUGACAGUUGAGGAGUAUGAGAAGAAAUUUUUAGACCUCUCUAGAUUUGCUACAUCUGUAGUCGGUGAUGAGAGAGAGAGAUGCAGACGGUUUGAGGAUGGCCUCCGAUUUGAGAUUCGCACCACCGUGACUGCAUCGCGAUAUACUGAGUUUGGAGAGGUAGUUGAGGCAGCUAGGAGAGUAGAGCACAGUAUUUUGUAAGGACGUGGAGUUCAUGCACUGAAGCAGAAAGCGUAGCCAGAGCUGGGCAGAGGGUGGCUCUAGUAGUAGGCAGCCCAAGAGAGGGGGUAUUCCUACAUGUUAUUCUGAUAGUACGCAAAGGAGUCAGGGUACAAGCUUCAGAGGAGACGCGAGACAGACUAUCAGUCAUAGCCCAGUGCAACCAUCAGUAGGGAGUAAUACCAGGAAUUAGGGACAGUACGACCGCAGUGGUGGGGGAUAUCGUGAUGAUCGUUCUAGGAGUGUCCAGCAGACUUCUUGCCCUUCAUGUGGUAGGAAUCAUCAGGGCCAGUGUCGCGUUGGAGACAGAGUUUGUUAUUUGUGUGGUCAGCCUGAACACAUCAGGAGAUUCUGCCCUACUUUAUCUCAGGGUGAUAGCUCUGUACGAGGGACAGCCUCACGGUAUCGGCCUUACUUUGGCCAGGCUCAGGGUCAGAGAGGAGUGUAGACAAAAGUUUCUACAUCUACCUUUAGGAGUCAGACGACUGCUCCAGGUCAGAGAGGGCAGCCUGGUCGACCUCAUACUCAGGCUCGAGUUUUUGCUUUGACGCAAUAGGAGGCACGUGUUGCACUAGAAGUUAUUAUGGGUAUAUUAUCUAUCAUUGGCCGCGAGGCUCAUAUUCUUAUUGAUCUUGGAUCCACACACUCUUUCGUUUCCCAUACUUUUACUAUGCACAUAGGGCGAGAGCCCGAACUGUUAGAUUAUGGUUUAGUUGUUCGUACACCUACUGGAGAAUCAUUACUUGCUGAGAGUGUGUAUCAAGAUUGUAUGAUUGGAAUAGGUGAACAUGAAUUUGAGGUGAAUUUGAUUUCCUUAGGCAUUUAUGACUUUGAUGUUAUUUUGGGCAUGGAUUGGCUUGAAUUUCAUUAUGCUACGGUGGAUUGUUUCAAAAAGGAAGUUUGUUUAAAAAGCCAGGGAAAACUGAAGUGAAAUUCUGUGGGGAGCACAAAGUUCUACCUUCAUGUGUUAUAUCUUCCAUUAGUGCAAGACGGUUGCUAAGAAAAGAAUGCUCAUCUUAUUUAGCUCAUGUGAUAGAUACAGAAGCUCGAGAAUUGAGAUUGGAGGAUAAUGCAGUAGUCAAAGAAUUUCCAAAUGUAUUUCCAGACGAACUUCGUAGGAUGCCACCUAAUAGGAAAGUUGAGUUUUCUAUUGACUUAGUCCCUGGAACAUCUCCUAUAUCUAUGGCACCAUACAGGAUGGCUCCAGCAGAGUUGCAGGAACUGAAGGUUCAAUUGCAAGAGUUGGUGGAGAAAGGGUUUAUUAGACCUAGUGUGUCCCCGUGGGGAGCUCCAGUCUUGUUUGUUAAGAAAAAUGAUGGGACUUUUAGACUCUGCAUUAACUACAGGCAGUUGAACAAAGUUACGGUACGCAAUAAGUAUCCAUUUCCAUGCAUUGAUGACUUGUUUGAUCAACUCCAUGAGGCGAAAGUAUUUUCUAAGAUCAAUUUGCACUCAGGUUACCAUCAGCUUAGAAUUAAAGACGUCGAUGUUCCGAAAACGGCAUUUAGAACCCGUUAUGGACACUAUGAGUUCUUAGUGAUGCCAUUUGGGUUGACAAAUGCUCCAGCUGCUUUUAUAGACCUUAUGAAUAGGGUAUUUCGCCCUUAUCUAGAUCGAUUUGUGAUUGUAUUCAUUGAUGAUAUAUUGGUGUAUUCCCAAAGUGAGGAGGUGCAUGCAGAGCAUUUGUGGACUAUUUUACAGACUUUGAAGCAGAAGCAGUUGUAUGCCAAGUUCAGCAAGUACGAGUUCUGGUUGGACAUAGUAGUAUUUUUGGGCCAUCUGAUAUUAGCAUAAGGUAUUUAUGUUGAUCCUCAAAGGAUUGAAGCAGUUGUGAAAUGGGAACGACCUACAAAUGUCACAGAGGUUCAGAGUUUUCUUGGAUUGGCUGGUUAUUAUCGUAGAUUUGUGGAGGGAUUCUCCAAGAUUGCUACUCAUCUGACACAGUUAACCAGAAAGAAUGCUAAGUUUAAGUGAGAUGAUGAUUGUGAAAAGAGUUUUCAAGAACUUAAGACAUGUUUGACCUCAGCACCAGUUCUUACACUUCCAUCUGGUAAUGAAGGAUUUGUGGUAUACAACGAUGCCUCUAGGCAGAGAUUAAGUUGUGUGUUAAUGUAGCAUGGGAAAGUGGUGGCUUAUGCUUCUAGACAACUUAAGAAACAUGAACAAAACUACCCAACACAUGACCUAGAACUAGCAGCAGCGGUGUUUGCACUCAAGACAUGGAGGCAUUACUUAUAUGGGACAACGUGUCAGAUUUUCACUGAUCAUAAGAGCCUGAAGUAUUUGUUUACUCAGAAGAAGUUGAAUUUGAGACAGAGGAGAUGGAUUGAGUUAAUUAAGGAUUACGAUUGCACUAUCGAUUAUCAUCCGGGUAAAGCAAAUGUGGUAGCUGAUGCACUAAGUAGAAAGUCGUCCAGCUCUCUAGCUCACUUGCGAGUGAAAUAUGUGCCUCUGUUGAUCGAGUUGAGAUCUUUGGGAGUCAAGUUGAACGCUGACAAUUGUGGAGCUUUGAUAGCUAAUUUUCAAGUUAGGCCGACUUUGAUUGACAAAGUUCACCAUAUGCAAGCUCAGGACCCACAGUUAAUGAAGUUUAAAUAGGAUGUGCAGAAAGGUUUACGAACCGAUUUUAUGGUGAGAGAUGAUGGAAUCUUAGUAAUGGGUAAUAGACUAUGUGUACCUGAUAUUAAGAAUCUGAAAGAAGAAAUUAUGGAAUAAGCUCACUAUUCAGCAUAUGUGAUGCAUCCUGGUAGUACGAAGAUGUAUCGCACCCUGAGGGAUCAUUAUUGGUGGCAGGGCAUGAAGAGAGAGAUAGUAGAAUUUGUUUCUCAAUGUUUAGUUUGUCAGCAGAUUAAGGCUGAACACCAGAGGCCUGCAGGGUGUUCUUAACCGCUUCCUAUUCCUGAGUGGAAGUGGGAGCACAUCACUAUGGAUUUUGUAGCAGGACUUCCACGUACUCAGAAAGGACAUGAUAGUGUUUGGGUGGUUGUUGAUCGAUUUACAAAAUCUGCUCACUUCUUACCAUUCAAAACCACAUAUUCGAUGGACAAGUUAGGGAGUAUUUAUGUGGCUAAGAUAGUUCGACUUCACGGAGUACCCGUGUCCAUAGUUUCAGAUAAAGAUUCCCAGUUUACUUCUAAGUUCUGGACCAGUUUGUAAAAUGCUUUAGGCACCAAGUUGAAUUUUAGUACAACUUUUCAUCCACAAACUGAUGGACAGUCAGAGCGUAUUAUUCAAACUCUGGAGGAUAUGUUGUGAGCUUGUGUUAUGGAGUUUAAAGGUAAUUGGGACAAUCAUUUACCUCUGAUGGAGUUUGCUUACAACAACAGCUAUCAAGCUAGUAUCGAGAUGGCACCAUAUGAGGCUUUAUAUGGUAGGAAAUACAGGACUCCAGUAUGUUGGGAUGAGGUUGGUGAGCGGAGGUUAUUCGGUCCAGAACUAGUCCAGGAUACUAACGAGUGAAAUACAAGUGUGCAACCCAAGAGGGGGGUGAAUUGGUAUUCUAAAAAUUAUUUGAUUCUAAAACAAAUUAUCAUGCAAAUCUAAAAUGAAUUUAAUGGAAUAACAAUUAAAUUAAUUACAAUAUAAAAAUAUAAGGGAAGAGAGAUUCAAACACGAAGAUUUUUACGUGGUUCGGCCAACCUCGCCUACGUCCACGCCUCCAAGCUUUCCGGGCUUGAGGAUUUCACUAAGCAAGCCUCCAAGGCUUCAAAUGCUUACACUUGACUUCCAAGGUGUCAAUGAACCUUUACAACAAGAGAUUAUCCUCAAUUGUUUAACCUAAGUGUAUCCCAACACUUACAAUCACUCAAAGUAAAAGAUUAAAAAUUAUUUUUCUCUCACACAAUAUUUAAGAUUACAAAUCAAUGCCCAAUGUGUGAAUAGAUGAAGUAAGAAUGUAUUUUAAAGCUCUAUGAAGAUUGUAUUCUCGAAUAUAAGCUCAAUGGUCGUGUUGUGAUCAAUCUUGUUUGAAUUUGAAUGAGCUUAUUUAUAGUUGGAGCUGAAAACUAGUCGUUAUUGACUUUCUGCUCAUUGUCGGAUCGCCGUUAACUAUAUGUCGGAUCCGUUUGACUGGUCAAUAUGACCGUUGGGCUGAAUUUUCAAAUUGUCGGAUCGCCGUUAUCUAUAUGUCGGAUCGCCGUUAGUGUCCAGAGACUAAUCUUCAAUUCUGUUCGAUGUCGGCGAGCUGUUAUCAAGAUGUCGGAUCGCCAUUUUCUACAGUAACUGCUACAGUGAACUAUUUUUACAAAAUUAUAGUUUGACCCUAAAACUUUGUAAAAUUAUAUUAUGACCCAAAACUUUAUAAAACUUGUCAAUUAGGUCCAUUUUCAGGAUUUUAAGCAAUACUUGUUAUUAUCAAAAAUCUCAAAGCUUUUUCAAUUGAAACCUUUAACAUGAGAAUAACUAAAAAUAUUUUCAUAGAAUAUAAGGCCUUUAUAAAGUGAGAAUGAUGAUUUAAAAGUAUAUGAAAAUUAUUUUGAGCUUUUAAAAUAUUAAUCAAUCUUAAUCAAGUUUGUUAUCAUCAAAAUCAAUAAUAAAGAAAUAUUUAUGUUAACAACGAGAAGAUACAAUUGAUCCGAGAUAGAUUAAAGGUGGCCCAAGAUAGACAGAAGAGUUAUGCAGACAAGCGUAGCCGGGAACUUGAAUUCGAAGUUGGUGAUAGAGUUUUCAUACGGAUAUCUCCUUGAAAAGGGGUGCUUCGAUUUGGGAAACGUUGGAAGAUAAGUCCACGUUACAUUGGGCCAUAUGAGAUCAUCAAGCGUAUCGGUCCGUUAGCUUAUCGAUUAGCUCUACCACCCAAGUUAUCCAGAAUCCACGAUGUGUUUCAUGUCUCAAUGCUCCGGAAGUACAUAUAUUACCCGAGUCAUGUGUUAUCGAAGCAACCAAUUCAGUUGAAGGAAGAUUUGACUUACGAAGAGGAACCAGUGGAGAUACUGGAAGAGAAACACCAAGUUCUGCGUUCUAAGACCAUUCCUCUAGUAAAAGUACGGUGGAGGAAUCAUAUAAAGGAAGAGGUUACCUGGGAAUGCGAGGAUUUAAUGUGAGCUCAAUAUCCCUAUCUUUUCUUAUCAGGUACGUAAAUUUCGAGGACGAAAUUUUUAUAAGGGAGGAGGAUUGUAACAUAUGUGAAUUAAAAAUGAAAUUGAGGGGGUUAAGGACUUUAUUAAAAAGAAUAGAAUAAGCUAGAAACAGGGAACAUAUACCACACGUGUGAGAGUAACAUAAGCUAUCAACAGACCCGAAAACCCGACCCAGAACCCGCGAACGUGACCCGGCCAUAUCUCUCAUUUUCGGCCACCGUUUCGGCCGAGCUUGGUACCAAUCUGAAGCUUAGAAGCCGGUCGUCGUUCCCCUGCCAUCCUCGUCACCGCAAACCAACCGGAAUGCCGGCGAUUGAAGAUUGAAAACCCACGACUGCUUCGCUUUGUUUCGCCGGGAUUUUCACCGAAUUUAGGUGACACCACCGGUUGGAUUUUGUUCCUCAUGACUCCCUCUUCCAUUUCCGACCAUCCACCACCCCCAGGGACAUCAUUUUGCCGUUGAUCGGCCGUUGAAGGACUUACGGCUUUGGGAACUCGAUCCGGAGCCAUCGCCGCGUGUGGGAGGUCAACACCGCCACCGUUGGACUCAGUGUGGCCAGAAUUUUCAGACCCGUGCUUCCCGGUCAGCGUUGACCAAAUUUCGGUGACUAGUGACUGUUGACCGACAAGGGCAUUUGGGUAAUUUCACACUAUGAGGGCAAUUUUAUAAUUUUUGAGCCUAUGGAUAUUUUAGUAAUUCCUGGAAUUGAGGAUUGGGUGUAAUUAUGAUUCCGAGGGUAAUUCGGUGAUUUACGAUUUCGGAGUAUUUUAAUGAUUUACGGACUCGAGGGCAUUUUAGUAGUUUUACCGACACGAGAGUUGUAAAUUAUGGAUAGAUGUUCGUUUCGAGUUUAUUACAUAAAUUUAGUCGUAAUUCCGAUUUACGAAAAAUAAUUGUGUCGUUUCCUUUAUUUAGGAGGAUCCGCGAGCGAGAACUGGUCCGCGGACAUGGACGAUAACCGAGCAUGAACACCGUCACUAUGAGUGGAAUAUACAAAACCUAUUUUCAUAGUUAUAUGAUAGUAAAGCAUGUUUGCGAAAUAAGUAUUUUAAAUGUUCUGAUUUAAUGAUUCCCUCGAAAUGGAUUUUAUUCAUGUAUUGGUAUUUUAUUAAAAUGUUUGGUUAAUGAUUCUGCGUAUCGACUUUGAAUAAAGUAUGAUAGUAUUUUAAAGACAAGAAAAGUGGAUUUAAAUGUGGUAUGAUUUAAAGUAUGGUUAAAAGGUAUGUGAAUAUGAGUAUAGUGAUUGUUUUUUAAAUCAUUAGACAGUACCCUUUCCUCCAGAUACAGUGAUACAGAUGAGAUGAGAGGCCUUCGGGACCCGUCUGAACACACAUAAAGGCUUUGGGCUGUGUAUUUGGGCGAUUUUGCCUUUUGGGGGCAUAUGCAUGUGGUAUGAUGAUUACAGAGAUACAGACAGAUAUUGAGAUACAGAUGAUACAGAUGAGAUGCAGGCCUUUGGGGCCCGUCUGAGUACACACAGAGGCUUUGGGCCAUGUGCUUGAGCGCUUUUGUUCUUUGGGGACUAGAUUAUGCAUGCACAGAUUUGAUGAGAUAUGAUGAGAUAUGAGAUGGUAUUUCCCUGUCUAUCCGUGUAGCUCCGGGGCGUGACAGUACCCAGAUAGUACAUCAUUGCCCGUCUGUUGAGGUCCAGAUAUGAUGAGAUUAUUUCCCCAGGUACUUGUUUAGUGAUGAUUUUCAGUCUUGUGUAUUCUAUAUGAUAUUGUGAUAUGAUUUCCAUGAUUAUUACGUAUGAUCGUUAUAUAUGCUUUUCAUGGUUAGUAAUCUGGUUUAAAUGUUAAAUGAUUUAUUACUGGUUUCUCGCUUAUGGUUUGUGUUGUGAAAAUUUUAAUAUACUCACAAGCGCACGAAUCUAGAAAUAGAAUAGUGGUAACGUGGUCGAUCCCACAGGGAUUGUUAUAAAUUGAAAAGUCUAAUUUAAAUCUAAAAUUAAUAUUAAUCCUAACCUAGUUGAGCAAAUUGAGUUUCAAAAGAAAUUAAACUAAUUAAACUAAGAAAACAAUUAAAGUAAAUGAGAUUUCAAUAAGACAAAAAUUACCAAGGUUUCAGAAUCCACCACUAUUCAACUAGUAAUUAUCUAAUUAUCAAUUAAUCCCCAAUUUUAGAGUGACAACUUGAAAUCAAUCUAUAUCAUCUCAUGAAUAUAACAAUUAAGCUCAAUUAAAAUUAAUCUAAUAUAUGUUCUUUUUCUGCUUAAUAGUAUGAUAUCUAAGCAUCUCAUGUAAACAUAUUGAAUAACAAAGAGUCAUAGUUUUCCUAAGCACUCUAUGUAAACAAUUUAAUGAAAGACAUAGAAUCAAAGAUAAUCAUGUAUAAACUUUAUAGAUCCAAGCAUAGAUUUAAUCGAAUAUUAAUCCUAAUAAUCAAUAAUGCAUGACAGAAUUGAUGAAAAGAUUUUAAUAACAUCCAACUAAUCAUGUGAAAUGAAAAUUAUAAUCGUCAAAGAACAUAUAUAAGGAAUUAAUUAAAUAAAAAGAUAAUUAUUUUAUUGAAUAGGGUUUCAUUCUUAAUUUCAGUAAAAAAAAAUUAGCUAGACAUACUUGAAUUGGGAGCAUCAAAAUUAAUAAAAACAGCCAUGGAGAAAUUGAGGAGCUGCUGCCGCUGCUUUAUUCUGUCUCACGUCCUCCCUUUUGUUUCCUUUCUGGCGGCUGCCCUCUUCUCCAAAAGCCAAAACUCCCUUUUAUAAUCUUUAAAAUGGGCCCCACCUCUUAAAUCCUAAAGCCAAAAUGCUAGCCUUUUUAUUUGCUUUAGCUCUCACACGUGCCCACCAUAAGCCAUAAAUUGUUUCCUCUUUUAAUUGCUCAACACGGGCCCACUUAUGCAAAGCCUAAUCAAGCUUCAUUUAAUCCUCAUGUGCUGGCCACUUUUAAAGCUAAUAUCACUUUCUCCUCUUUGUCCGCAUGUGGAUGAUGCAUGCAUUUGUUGAGUUCGGUUUCCUUGGCUUGAAUUAACAUGCAUAUAAGCAUAAUUGCUUCUAAGUUAAUUAAUCUUUAAUGCUCACAAAUUGAACUCUUUUAUGCUCUUUUUAUCCAUAAUCUCUAAUUAAUUCCCUAUUCAAUAAAAUAAUUCAAUUAAUUAAAAAUAACAAAUAAAUAUAACUAGCAAUUAUUUAAUUAAGGGUAAAAUAUGUAUAUAUUAUAUGCUCAUCAGUUUGAUGAAAUCGUGUUUGAAAAUGAUAUGAUUAUUUCUUUUAAAGUAAGAAUUAAUUUUUAAAAACUACUAUCCACUCACUGAUCUCUUUGAGUUUUAAACUCACCCCAUUUUUAUUAUAUUUCUCCCCCCCCCCAGCAGGAGGUUGCAGGUACACCAGACCGACCCAGCGACUGUAAAUAUAUUUUGAGUCUUGGCCACGUAAUGGUGUUAGAAGAUAUAGAUGUUUUUGUUAGGACAUCUUGGUCAUCUUAUUCUUUUGGGAUUGUAUAAUUUUGUUAUAUUAUUCUUUCUGGAUUAAUAAUAAACUGAGAUAUUAAUAUUAGUUAUAAUAUUAUCUUUUGAGAUUCUAGAGAUAUAAAACUCAGCAUUUUGGUUGAGGAUGUUGAUCACUGGAGUUUGUUGUAUAUUGAAUUAUAUUGGGAGUGUUAUAUUCAUAUUUGUAGAUUGGGAGUAUUAUAUAUAUAAAGGAGACUUUGCUGAAUUUUCGGCAGAAUCCUUACUAAUUAGAUUAUUAUCAAGUUCAUUUUAAUGAGACUAGAUUGACUCGCCCGGGGAAAUUCGGGGUGGGUCGUUUCAAUAGUAUUGAAAGUAAACACAGCAGCAAUUAUAUAUAGCAAAGAUUAGUGGGAAAACAGAUGUAUUAAAAUUGUUCGACUCCAAAUUCUGUCAGAAUAAACUAAAUGAGCGUAACAAUCAACUGGACCACAGAGAAAGAUAUCUCCAACGCCAUAAGCGGUCGCUUCUGAAAAUGCAUUCUGGUUGCAGCUCUAGUUCAAAUUCUUCUCAUGGUACAAGUAUGCGUACUCAUGGUAAUAGCAAAACCAAUGCUGACAAUAGAAAUGCAGCAAAAAGGAUGCUCCUCUUCCCAAUCAACGAAAAAGCAUUGUCAUUCAUUACGUGAAAAAUUUUAAGAUCAGAAAUUGGAGGCCAAUUGUAUGCGAAACUCUGAUAUUUUACCUCGAUCUAUCUAAAUCCAAACAGGAAAAUGAAUACUCGAGCAAUAUUCAAAUAUCGAAAAAGCAUAUUUUCAAAAUUAAGUGAGGAAAAAAAAUUUCAGUAUCAAUUAACUGAUCUUCAUUAGGCGUUAAUUUUUAUUUUUCCUUAAAAAAAAAAGCACUUCCGGAGUCAUUCUAAGAUUCAUGACAAAUAGUAAAAUGUAAUGUUUGUUCUCCUCAUAAAUUUAUAUAAGGCAGUUAGAAAAUAGCAUAGCUUUCUUCUAAGUUAUAAUUAUUGGGUCUAUUAGGCGGAAUAAAAAUAACAAGUUGGAUCUUUGUGUAAAUAUCUUUUUUUUUCAUUGAAAAUUAGAUAUAUCAAACUUAUUCAUCGGGGCUUUAUUACAUUUCCUUUUCUUUUCAAUAAUUAAUUUGUCAUGUAAUUGGUCAACAAAUUUGCUUCUUGUUUGUCCAGUACACUAAUAUAGAUGCUGUUCAUUAGAAGCAGAAACAGAGCUGUAACAGAGAAGAAAAUAGCUGUAAAAUCAUUUCUUAGGUUUUGAGAUAGGAAUGACGAACCAAAGUUAAAUUGGCAACAUCAUUCAAGUGUCGCCAUUAGCUUGGAUGCAUGUAAAGAUGAUUUUACCCAUAGUUGUUGCAUAAAAACCUUUGUUAUCUUUACUUUUGUUGUCAAAAUUAUUAUUAUAAUUUUUUUAAUGGUAGAAGUAGAACCUAAUCCCUCAUAAUUAUCAUUUAAUAAUAUGUUAAUUACCAAAUACUAUUAUUUUUUAAUUCAUACCUAGUAGUGAUUUAAAUUUGAAAAGCGACAAAACCAGAAACCAAUUUUUAAUAUAUAAUAAACCAGUUUAUAUUUUUUUUCUUAAGGACAAAUGUAAGGAUCCAAUAAAAAAAAAAAAAACCACCAACAUUACAAUGACAGAAUUAGAAAACGAAAAUCACAACAACAUUAUAAUUACAUUCAGUUUCUACGUCUCCUCCUCCUCCUUGUUGCCUUUUGCUGCGUUCCCAACUUCUCCAGAAUCCAUCCAAUAAUUCCUGUGCUGAAGUUGAACCCCAGAACCAAUCCUGCCACAAGUCCGCCUGCAUAGCCAGUCAGAAUGAUUUUCCAAUCAGAUGCGCCUGAAAACAGGGACUCCUCCGAGCCUUCAGUAUGAUCUUCAUUUGUUGGAGCUUCACCACUCUCACAUCCUUUGGACAAAGGCUUUCCACACAAUCCUGAGUUGCCGUCGAAAGAAGUGUUGUCAAAUGUAGCAAAUUGAUUUCCUUGUGGUAUAGGCCCUGUAAGGUAAUUAUCCGAGACAUUGAAGAAUGCAAGAAAUGUGAGCUCAACCAGUUGUUGAGGAAUCCGUCCUGAAAACUUGUUAUUUGAGAGAUCCAAUGAUUCCAAAUUUGUUAGAUUGCCCAAACAUGACGGAAUAUGGCCUUGGAGAUUAUUGUACUGGAUGUUUAGAACUUGAAGUCCCUUUAAAUUCGCAAUCGAUGCUGGAAUCGCCCCAUCAAAUCUAUUGUUUGAGAGAAUAAUGCCCGCGAGGAUAUCCGGAAUCUUGUUAUAUGUAAUCAUUCGCCCUUUGCUGUUCAUUGUCAAUGAGUAGUCAUAAGUGCUAAGUAUAUCAUUGGACAAUUUUCCAGACGGAGAAAGCACAUCUUGCAGAUAUCUUAGCUCACUUGUAUUGACAAUUUUCAUGGCAUUCCAACACAGGAAACUCUUUGAUGGAAGCUUUCCAGAAAAUCUGUUGUCAGAUAGGUCAAUAAUGCGGAGUUUAGAAAAUCCACAACCAGUUCUGGGUUCUUCUAUAACGCCAUAAAAUAUGUUGGAUCGUAGGAUGAGAACAUUCAAUUUUGGAAGAGUUCCUAACCAAGAGGGAAAAGUGUCACUAAUCUGGUUGUUCCCAAGACCAAGAAAUUCCAACUUUGAACAGUUGAUCAAUGAUCUUGGAAUUCUUCCUUGAAACAGAUUAUGGCUUAAAUCAAUCACGCCUAAUCUACUUUCUUUAAUGAAAGUAUUUGGGAUGGUCCCAAAGAAGUUGUUAGCCUGCAAGUCGAGCACUGAAAGUUCAUCGCUGAAAUUGCCUAAACACUGAGGAAGCAAGCCACUUAAGUUAUUGUGAGACAAAACAAGGCUUUCAAGAAUAUUCAAAUUGCAUAUCCACGAUGGAAUUUCCCCUGUUAAGCUACUGUUUGAAGCUAGAUAGUUAGCGGUUCCAGGGGGUGGAACUGGGAGUGGUCCUUGUAAAUUAUUAGAGCUAAGAUCAAAAGUCACCGAAUCACCGUUAUUCCCUGGAAGAAGAACAGGAUGCUGAUCAAACCCGGUUAACAAGUUAUGCGAAAGGUUCAAGGCACUGAGAUUCUGCAUAUUGGGGUCUAACAACCAUUUAGGUACUUUUCCCUGAAUUCUAUUGUCAGAAAGGUCCAGGACCACCAUAUCACGUUGGUUUUCCAAGAAAUUUGGAAAUUUAGUAAGAUUGCAUGAACGCAAUCCUAUAUACUGAAUUUUCUGUGAAGUGGUAUUAGAAGUGGCUUUGGUGAGCACUGACAACCUAUUUAAUGAGAGAGCUAAAACUUCCAAUUUUUUCCAGCUAGUAAGUAAAACAUCUAACUCUAUCGUUCCUCCAUAAGAAUUUUGAGCCAUGUCAAGGACGACAAGUUCGGUAAGAUUCCUAAGUGAAGAUGUAAUUUGACCUGAAAAAUUACACUUAGAAAUAUAUAUUGCUUCCAAUGACCUAAGAUUUCCGAUGGAACCAAGUAAGUCACCCGAAAAAUUAUUAAAUCCAAGAAACAAAAAUUGUAGCCGGGUGAAAUUACUAAUUGCAUGUGGAACUUUGCCCCAAAAACCACAUGACCUCAGAUCUAAUAGCUUCAAAGAACUAAAAUUUCCAGACGACCAUGGAAACUCACCCAAAAAUUUAUUAAAUGAAAGGUCAAGUUUUUCCAAAGAAAAAAGAUUUCGAAUGGAAGUAGGCAACUCACCGAAAAAUCCAUUUUGUGAAAGGUCAAGUUCUUUCAAUGAACCAAGAUUUCCUAUGGAAAUAGGCAACUCACCAAAAAAAUUAUUUUGUGAAAGGUCAAGUUCUUUCAAAGAACUAAGAUUUCCAAUGGAAAUAGGCCACUCACUCGACAAAAAAUUUGCAGAGAGAUCUAGUUCUUUCAAUGAAUGAAGAUUACCAACGGAAACAGGCAGCUCACCCAGUAAUUCAUUUAUUGAAAGGUCCAAAUGAAGGAGUUUCGAUAGAUCACCGAGUGAAGAUGGAAUUCUUCCUGAAAUUUGUAUAAAAAAAAAAAGAACACAUUGCUUAAGUAGAAAAUUAAAAAUAAUAAUAAUUUUUACUAAUGAAUUUAACAUUGCAAUUGGCAAUUUUCGAGUAAAAUAUAUAUAUUUAACAAUAACAUGCAUGUAUAUUAAUUAAGGAGAAAAUAUAUAAAAUUUAAUUACCUUGCAAUUCACAGUUUCGAAGAGAAACAAACGUCAAAGAAGAUAGAUUUCCGAUGUUAUGAGGUAUCGUUGAAUCAAUAGAAACAUCACCAAGGUCAAGUGUUUUUAGAUUACUUAACUUCUCGACUAAAUUUUCGAAACUGGGCUUCUGGAGUUCAAGUCUACCACCAGGAACAUCAUUUAGUGAUAAAUCAAGGGACACCAAGUUGGAAAGCUUUAGAAUUUCCGAUGGUAUUUGACCAGAUAAAGAAGUUCCAGAGAGGUUCAAGUAUGAUAACCUGGAAAGGUUGAUGAUUUCUGGUGGGAUUUCGGAGGAAUUGAAGUCAUUCAAAGCAAGAUUAAGCCACUCGAGAUGGACAAGCUUGAAAAGGCUGCUGCUAGAGUCGAUAGAACCAAAAAGGCAGCUAUGGGAGAGGUCAAGCUUGAUGACAUGACCAGUGUUCUUAUUGCAAUGAACGCCGUCCCAAGAGCAGCAAUCAACGCUACCUUCUUCUGGCUUCCAUGAUGCCAUUGUAGGACGACAGUCAAAUUUCCAAGCAUAAAAAUCACCACUGAUGCGGCUUUCUUUGAAUUGCAACAAAGCAGAACGCUCAUCAUCAUGGCAGAGUGGCAGCAUAGAAGAAGCAGUGACGUUAGCAAUUGUGAAAUUCAAGAAAAAGAAGGGAAAAACUAACCGUAUGAACAUUGUGAAUAAACAUAUGGAGGAUAAACCCAUAGUUUUCUCAAAAAUAAAAUUUGUUUAACUUUGUAGAUGUGAAGAAA
RNAcentral lists this long non-coding RNA (30269 nucleotides) under Citrus maxima (pomelo). Its description in RNAcentral is "long non-coding RNA (CMAX_LNC001266)". Lineage: Eukaryota; Viridiplantae; Streptophyta; Magnoliopsida; Sapindales; Rutaceae. The record is from RNAcentral.